GGCCUGAUGGUUUAGUGGUUUGCAUGUUUACCUCGUACCUCCGGGGUUGCGGGUUCGAUUCCCGCAUGUUCCC
This is a non-coding RNA of Ameiurus melas (black bullhead), 73 nucleotides long. The record is from the annotation of a GenBank genome assembly. Lineage: Eukaryota; Metazoa; Chordata; Actinopteri; Siluriformes; Ictaluridae.